Molecule: ribosomal RNA, 433 nt
Filed under: uncultured bacterium
Lineage: Bacteria
Description: partial 16S ribosomal RNA
Rfam family: Bacterial small subunit ribosomal RNA
Source: RNAcentral
AACGAACGCUGGCGGCAUGCCUAACACAUGCAAGUCGAACGAGACCUUCGGGUCUAGUGGCGCACGGGUGCGUAACGCGUGGGAACCUGCCCUUAGGUUCGGAAUAACUCCCCGAAAGGGGUGCGAAUACCGGAUAAUGUCUUCGGACCAAAGAUUUAUCGCCUUUGGAUGGGCCCGCGUUGGAUUAGCUAGUUGGUAGGGUAAAAGCCUACCAAGGCGACGAUCCAUAGCUGGUCUGAGAGGAUGAUCAGCCACACUGGGACUGAGACACGGCCCAGACUCCUACGGGAGGCAGCAGUGGGGAAUAUUGGAAAAUGGGCGAAAGGCUGAUCCAGCAAUGCCGCGUGAGUGAUGAAGGACUUAGGGUUGUAAAGCUCUUUUACCCGGGAUGAUAAUGACAGUACCGUGAGAAUAAGCUCCGGCUAACUCCGUG